Molecule: ribosomal RNA, 1751 nt
Filed under: Phacus acuminatus var. triquetra
Lineage: Eukaryota; Euglenozoa; Euglenophyceae; Euglenales; Phacaceae
Description: bacterial LSU rRNA
Rfam family: Bacterial large subunit ribosomal RNA
Source: RNAcentral
UGUCAAAAGGGUAACAGCCCAGAUCACCAGAUAAGGCCCUAAAUAAUUGCUAAGUGGUAAAGGAUGUGUUGGUACGUAGACAACCAGGAGGUUCGCUUAGAAGCAGCAACCCUUUAAAAAUUGCGUAAUAGCUUACUGGUCAAGUGCCUUCGCGCCGAUAAUGUAUGGGACUAAGUAAUUUGCCGAAUCUGUGAGUUGUUUAUAACGGUAGAAGAGCGUUCUGUUUGAGUUGAAGCAGUAAUGAAAAUAGUUGUGGAUUAAACAGAAGUGAGAAUGUCGGCUUAAGUAACGAAAACAUUGGUGGGAAUCCAAUGCUCCGUAAACCUAAGGUUUCCUCCGCAAGGUUCGUCCACGGAGGGUUAGUCAGGUUCUAAAAUCAGGCUGAAAAGCGUAGUUGAUGAGAAACAAGUUAAUAUUCUUGUACUGUAUCGAUCCCGUGAAGGAGGACGAAGAAGUCUAGGUCUGCCAAAGACUGGUUGUUUUGGUUAAAAUUCUUAAGGCGUUGAAGGGUGCUAUGUAAAAAGUUCUCUGAGCUAAGGAAUGAAUGAUAAGGUGCUACGGUACCGAAUUGACUGACGGCAUGCUUCCUAGAAAAGCCCUUGCCUUGGUAAUUUCGAUACACCUGUACCGUAAACUGACACAGGUGGGUGAGUAGAGUAUACUCAGGAGCGCGUGAUAAUUCUUUUUAAGGAACUCGGCAAAAUAGCCUUGUAACUUCGGGAGAAAAGGUGCCUUGCUGAAAAGUAAGGUUGCAGUGAUCAGAUCCAGGCGACUGUUUACCAAAAACACAGGUCUCCGCUAAGUUGAAAAACGAUGUAUGGGGGCUGACGCCUGCCCAGUGCUGGAAGGUUAAAGAAAUCGGUUAGCGUUAAGCAAAGCUGGUGACUGAAGCCCCAGUGAACGGCGGCCGUAACUAUAACGGUCCUAAGGUAGCGAAAUUCCUUGUCGGGUAAGUUCCGACCCGCACGAAAGGCGUAACGAUCUGGAAACUGUCUCAAAAAGAAACACGGUGAAAUAGAACUAACUGUGAAGAUGCGGUUAACUUGCACUUGGACAGAAAGACCCUAUGAAGCUUUACUGUAGCCUGAUAUUGAUUUCGGACUUUUUUUGCGCAGUAUAGGUGGGAGGCUAUGAAUCUUUUUUUCGGAAAAUGAGGAGCCAUCAAUGAGAUACCACUCUGAAAAAGUUAGAAGUCUAAUGAUAUUUCUUUAAUCAGAAUGUUUGACAUUGUCAGGUGGGCAGUUUUACUGGGGCGGUAGCCUCCUAAAAAGUAACGGAGGCGUACAAAGGUUUUCUCAGACUGGACGGAAAUUUGUUUUAGAGUGUAAAGGCAUAAGAAAGCUUAACUGUUAGACCUACAAGUCAAACAGGGACGAAAGUCGGUCUUAGUGAUCCGACGAUUCUGAAUGUAAAGGUCGUCGCUUAACGGAUAAAAGUUACUCUAGGGAUAACAGGCUGAUCUCCUCCAAGAGUUCACAUCGACGAGGAGGUUUGGCACCUCGAUGUCGGCUCAUCGCAACCUGGAGCGGUAGUACGUUCCAAGGGUUAGGCUGUUCGCCUAUUAAAGCGGUACGUGAGCUGGGUUCAGAACGUCGAGAGACAGUUCGGUCCAUAUCCGGUGCAAGCGUUAGAGCAUUGAAAGGAUCUUUUUUUAGUACGAGAGGACCGAAAAAGACGCACCGCUGGUGUACCAGUUCUUAUGCCAAUAGGAAAUGCUGGGUAGUCAAGUGCGGAGUGGAUAACUGCUGAAA